Long non-coding RNA from Chrysemys picta bellii (western painted turtle), 2297 nucleotides. RefSeq lists it as uncharacterized. Lineage: Eukaryota; Metazoa; Chordata; Testudines; Emydidae. The record is from RefSeq and is a predicted model, not a curated record.
UAGACUCCCGCUCCCACAAUGCACCGGGCUCGUUCCCCUUCACAGCCCGUUUCUCCCGCACCGGGCUGACACUGAACCCGUUAAAUUACCGCCGGUGGAACGAGCCGCAAGGCGGCGCCCGGACGGGACCCCCCUCCCAGCACGCCCGGCACCAGAGUGGGACCCUGCGGGGCCGGGGCCGGACUCGGGGCUCCUGGGCAAGCCAGAGCCCAACGUUGUGCCCAACUGGACAAGCAAGCAGGCUCCACGUCAGCUCCUCGCAGCCUGGCUCUGCAGGCAGCAGCAAAUACUGGUGAGAAAAAAGAACAUGGAGCCUCCUUCACCAGACUCCAGGUCACCUUCUUUACUCUUUGAAUAAACCAUUCUUUGAGGUGUAACUCUCAGAAGAAUCCACUUCAAGGGUCAACUGGACUAUAAAAGAAAGGGGAAAGAAAACCCAAGGGAUCUGUCUCUCUCUCUCCUCCCCUAAGAAGACAAAGGAACCAGCCCUUUGACUUUGAGGGGUGACCCUGACCGAAGAAUUUGGUCAGCCACAUGCCUGGAAAUAUAUGCACCUUUCAUCCAAAGAUCUCAAAGCACUCUACACACAGGAGCUUCACAACACAAUUUUGCAUAUGGAAAAACUGAGAAACAGUGUAAGUGCCUGAGAUUACACAGCAAGUCAGAUGUAGGACUAUGAAUAUUAGUUAGAAAGCAUUAUGUUGUAGUUUACAAUCAUUAGAAUAUAUUGGUAUGUCUCAACAACUUUUUUCAAUUAAACCAUUUUGAAAGUUUCCAAUAAAUAUUCAGGGAAGAGAAGUGAACUUAAAAUACAUGCGUAAUAAUAAAAGUUGUGUUAUAAAUGGCAUCUCACUCAAUACAGCUUUUCUCUGUGUAUUCAGUCUCCUUAUGGACAAUAUAGUUUACUAUUUUUUAUUCCUGUUAACACUGCAGACUCUAAACAGUUAUGUCAGAGUGAGCUCAAUUCUAUUCUGGCUCAUGAAUCACCAACAGAAUUAUUUACUAGGGGCUCAAUCCUGCAAGUUGCUAAGCAUCCAGCCCUGGUCCAGCAAAGCACUUAGCAUGUGAUUAACUCUUUAAGCACAUGAGCAUUCUCACUGACAUCAAUGCAAAGCUUUGCUGGACAGGGGCCAGAGUGCCCAACACCUCACAAGAUCAAGUCUCAAGAUUACAUUGCAAAAUUUGUAUCACUGGUGGUGAUGAGUGAGCAAGAAUUCCAGGAUGAGAUUGCAGACCUGGGAUUUAGGAAAAUAAAGUUUUUAUGUAUUAACCGAGCAGAUUUGACCUGGAAGUCUUAGAAACACAAAGAUGGAACCCCCAUGAUGACAUUUUUACAGAGUAACUUUACAAAGUAGAAUCACAGUAAGUCUGACUUCCACUUAUCAGGUUCCAUAUUACUUCAUGUUAUACCUGACUGCCUGCAUGUAGUUUAGUAGUUUGCCUUCAGCCAGUCAGAAAGUUUGAUGUAAAUUAAAGAUGAGAAGUAAGCUCUUCCAUUCAGAUGAGUUAUACAGGUUUCUGUCAUGAGAUCUAAAAAUGAUAAUGGUAACAUAUCUAAAACAAGUUAAUUAUCCAUUUUGACAUACCUUAUUAGUCCACGAUACAUGAUAUAAUCACACCACCUGUCAUUAUCCGUACUGUCAAUAUCCUAUGGGGAAAAAAUAAAGCAAAUAUGACAAAGUUUCUUCAAAGAUGGACCUCAGGUCAGGGCAUGUCUCCACUAUAGCUGCUGCAGUGCCACAGUGCAGAUGCUUCCUAUAUUGACAGAAGGCAUUUUUUCCAUCAAUGUAGGUAAUCCAUGACCCUGAGCAGCACUAGUUAGGUCGACAGAAGAAUUCUGCCAUCAACCUAAUCUGCGUCUACACUGGGGGUUCGGUAGACUUAAUUACAAUGCUCAAGGGUAUGAAUUUUUCACACUCCUGAGCAACGUAGCUAGGUUGAUCUAAAUUUUAAAUGUAGACCAGGCCUCAGUAAUAGAAUCUGUAUGGGGAUACAGAACAAGGAAAUGAUUUGCUUGAGAUGUAGUCAAAAGUUGCAAAGGAAACAGAAUCCUGAUGUUAGAUCCAGGCAGGUAAAUAAAGGAAGACUGAUUUUUUUUAAGGUAUUUUAUUUCUAAAAUAAUAGUUCCUAACAGGUAAUUGAAAAAUGGAACAGAUUUUAAAACAAGUUUUUUUUUAAAAAAGUAUGUGUAUUUUUAACCCUAUAAUCUGCAUAGGUUACUGAUUUGGAAUCUUAAAUUCAUCUUUUGUAAAUUAGUCAGUUGUUAUAGUUAGUAGUAGUUCUACAUUACCUUAACA